AACGAACGCUGGCGGCGUGCCUAACACAUGCAAGUCGAACGAGAAAGGGGCUUCGGCCCUGAGUAAAGUGGCGCACGGGUGAGUAACACGUAGGUAACCUGCCUCUAAGAUCGGGAUAAC
Molecule: ribosomal RNA, 120 nt
Filed under: uncultured bacterium
Lineage: Bacteria
Description: partial 16S ribosomal RNA
Rfam family: Bacterial small subunit ribosomal RNA
Source: RNAcentral